Molecule: ribosomal RNA, 253 nt
Filed under: uncultured bacterium
Lineage: Bacteria
Description: partial 16S ribosomal RNA
Rfam family: Bacterial small subunit ribosomal RNA
Source: RNAcentral
UACGAAGGGGGCGAGCGUUGUUCGGAUUUACUGGGCGUAAAGGGCGCGCAGGCGGUCUUGAAAGUCAGGCGUGAAAGCCCCGGGCUUAACCUGGGAAUUGCGCUUGAUACUCUGAGACUGGAGUACGGGAGAGGAGAGUGGAAUUCCCAGUGUAGAGGUGAAAUUCGUAGAUAUUGGGAAGAACACCGGUGGCGAAGGCGGUUCUCUGGGCCUUACCUGACGCUGAGGAGCGAAAGCGUGGGGAGCGAACAGG